This 438-nucleotide ribosomal RNA is filed under the name uncultured bacterium. RNAcentral's name for it is "partial 16S ribosomal RNA". It matches the Rfam family "Bacterial small subunit ribosomal RNA", at positions 29 to 507 of the family's 1533-position model. The record is from RNAcentral.
AACGAACGCUGGCGGCAUGCCUAACACAUGCAAGUCGAACGAGACCUUCGGGUCUAGUUGCGCACGGGUGCGUAACGCGUGGGAACCUGCCCUUAGGUUCGGAAUAACUCCCCGAAGGGGGUGCUAAUACCGGAUAAUGUCUUCGGACCAAAGAUUUGGAGCCUGGGGAUGGGCUCGCGUUGGAUUAGCCUGUUGGUAGGGUAAAAGCCUAUCAAGGCGACGAUGGGUAGCUGGUCUGAGAGGGUGAGCGGGCACAGUGGGACUGAGACACGGCCCAGACGACUACGGGAGGCAACAGUGGGGAAGAGUGUACAAUGGGAGGAAGCAUGAUGUAGCAACGCAGCGUGCGGGAGGAAGGCCUGCGGGUGGGAAACAGAUUUCGCCUGUGACGAAGCGUGAGUGACGGUAAGGGGUAAAGAAGCACCGGCUAACUACGUG